This 996-nucleotide ribosomal RNA is filed under the name uncultured bacterium. RNAcentral describes it as "bacterial SSU rRNA". It matches the Rfam family "Bacterial small subunit ribosomal RNA", at positions 355 to 1375 of the family's 1533-position model. RNAcentral also lists the same sequence under 1 other name. The record is from RNAcentral.
UGGGGGAUAUUGCACAAUGGGGGAAACCCUGAUGCAGCGACGCCGCGUGGAGGAAGAAGAUUUUCGGAUUGUAAACUCCUGUCGUUAGGGACGAUAAUGACGGUACCUAACAAGAAAGCACCGGCUAACUACGUGCCAGCAGCCGCGGUAAAACGUAGGGUGCAAGCGUUGUCCGGAAUUACUGGGUGUAAAGGGAGCGCAGGCGGACCGGCAAGUUGGAAGUGAAAACUAUGGGCUCAACCCAUAAAUUGCUUUCAAAACUGCUGGCCUUGAGUAGUGCAGAGGUAGGUGGAAUUCCCGGUGUAGCGGUGGAAUGCGUAGAUAUCGGGAGGAACACCAGUGGCGAAGGCGACCUACUGGGCACCAACUGACGCUGAGGCUCGAAAGCAUGGGUAGCAAACAGGAUUAGAUACCCUGGUAGUCCAUGCCGUAAACGAUGAUUACUAGGUGUUGGAGGAUUGACCCCUUCAGUGCCGCAGUUAACACAAUAAGUAAUCCACCUGGGGAGUACGACCGCAAGGUUGAAACUCAAAGGAAUUGACGGGGGCCCGCACAAGCAGUGGAGUAUGUGGUUUAAUUCGAAGCAACGCGAAGAACCUUACCAGGUCUUGACAUCCGAUGCAUAGCUUAGAGAUAAGUGAAGUCCUUCGGGACAUCGAGACAGGUGGUGCAUGGUUGUCGUCAGCUCGUGUCGUGAGAUGUUGGGUUAAGUCCCGCAACGAGCGCAACCCUUAUUGCCAGUUACUACGAAAGAGGACUCUGGCGAGACUGCCGUUGACAAAACGGAGGAAGGUGGGGAUGACGUCAAAUCAUCAUGCCCUUUAUGACCUGGGCUACACACGUACUACAAUGGCGUUUAACAAAGAGAAGCAAGACCGCGAGGUGGAGCAAAACUCAAAAACAACGUCUCAGUUCAGAUUGCAGGCUGCAACUCGCCUGCAUGAAGUCGGAAUUGCUAGUAAUCGCGGAUCAGCAUGCCGCGGUGAAUACGUUCCC